UGUAUACUCCCUCCGCCUGAAAAUACUUGUCAUAGAAAUGGAUGUAUCUAAAUGUAUUUUAGUCCUAGAUACAUCUAUUUUUAUACAUUUGUGCGACAAGUGAUUUCAGACGGAGGGAGUAGUUU
This is a non-coding RNA of Hordeum vulgare subsp. vulgare (domesticated barley), 125 nucleotides long. NCBI's taxonomy places the organism in Eukaryota, Viridiplantae, Streptophyta, Magnoliopsida, Poales, Poaceae. The record is from Rfam.